UGGGGAAUUUUGGACAAUGGACGCAAGUCUGAUCCAGCCAUGCCGCGUGCAGGAAGAAGGCCUUCGGGUUGUAAACCGCUUUUGUCAGGGAAGAAACGAGUUUCUCUAAUACAGAGACUUAAUGACGGUACCUGAAGAAUAAGCACCGGCUAACUACGUGCCAGCAGCCGCGGUAAUACGUAGGGUGCAAGCGUUAAUCGGAAUUACUGGGCGUAAAGCGUGCGCAGGCGGUUAUGCAAGACAGAUGUGAAAUCCCCGGGCUCAACCUGGGAACUGCAUUUGUGACUGCAUAGCUGGAGUGCGGCAGAGGGGGAUGGAAUUCCGCGUGUAGCAGUGAAAUGCGUAGAUAUGCGGAGGAACACCGAUGUCGAAGGCAAUCCCCUGGGCCUGUACUGACGCUCAUGCACGAAAGCGUGGGGAGCAAACA
Molecule: ribosomal RNA, 427 nt
Filed under: uncultured bacterium
Lineage: Bacteria
Description: bacterial SSU rRNA
Rfam family: Bacterial small subunit ribosomal RNA
Source: RNAcentral